AGUUCAGUUUCUAUUUGUCACUAGUUAAUAUCACACCUGGUGAAAGGGAGUAAGACAAGGAAUAUUAAUAUUAAAAUAAAGAAGAUGAAGUUCUUAUUGCUCAUUUCUAUAUUUGUGGCCUGUUCUGCCCACUGCUUGGCAUUUAAAAACGUUGAAUGUGGCUUACCACCUUUUAAGGAAGGGAAUGGAAAAAUAAUUUGUCUUGCAUAUGUUCCUAGUUGGAGUUAUGAUUUAAAAACAAACGAAUGCGUUUGGUGGGUAUAUGGAGGAUGUGGCGGCAAUGCCAAUCGAUUUGGAAGCGAACAGAAGUGCAAGGACAGGUGUAAGGAAUAAAAAAAGAUGCAAGUACUUUAACAACUGCAAAAUGUAUCAAAAAGGUUAAUUAAAGAAAUUUGUCAAAUUUAAAAAAUAA
This is a long non-coding RNA of Drosophila nasuta, 412 nucleotides long. RefSeq lists it as uncharacterized. Lineage: Eukaryota; Metazoa; Arthropoda; Insecta; Diptera; Drosophilidae. The record is from RefSeq and is a predicted model, not a curated record. The transcript is spliced from 2 exons.